AACGUAGGUCACAAGCGUUGUCCGGAAUUACUGGGUGUAAAGGGAGCGCAGGCGGGCGAUCAAGUUGGAAGUGAAAUCCAUGGGCUCAACCCAUGAACUGCUUUCAAAACUGGUCGUCUUGAGUAGUGCAGAGGUAGGCGGAAUUCCCGGUGUAGCGGUGGAAUGCGUAGAUAUCGGGAGGAACACCAGUGGCGAAGGCGGCUUACUGGGCACCAACUGACGCUGAGGCUCGAAAGUGUGGGUAGCAAACAGG
This 253-nucleotide ribosomal RNA is filed under the name Faecalibacterium prausnitzii. RNAcentral's name for it is "partial 16S ribosomal RNA". It matches the Rfam family "Bacterial small subunit ribosomal RNA", at positions 524 to 776 of the family's 1533-position model. The record is from RNAcentral. Lineage: Bacteria; Bacillati; Bacillota; Clostridia; Eubacteriales; Oscillospiraceae.